UCUCUGUAAGUCGAGCCUCAAGCUGCAGGGAGGAGGGACACUCCCCGCCCGACACAGACCCAUUAAGAAUUGAUCCGCUCAGGAGGCAGCAUCACGUGGCCCGUUAACCCACACAACCAGAUGACCCCGGGGCUGAGGAGCGGAAGAGCCCACGUUUCCCUGGCAAAUUCUCAGUAUCCACCGCCACAGCGCUCGCUAACGUAAACUCUAUAGAUCUUCUGAAAUCCCUAAUUCCUUUCGGACCAGCAGAGCACUGAGGCGGAGAAUGGCUUCCAA
This is a long non-coding RNA of Talpa occidentalis (Iberian mole), 276 nucleotides long. RefSeq lists it as uncharacterized. The record is from RefSeq and is a predicted model, not a curated record. Lineage: Eukaryota; Metazoa; Chordata; Mammalia; Eulipotyphla; Talpidae. The transcript has 3 exons.